GUAGGUAACAGCCCACCAAGGCGACGAUCGGUAGCCGGACUGAGAGGUUGAACGGCCACAUUGGGACUGAGACACGGCCCAGACUCCUACGGGAGGCAGCAGUGGGGAAUAUUGCACAAUGGGGGAAACCCUGAUGCAGCGACGCCGCGUGGAGGAAGAAGGUCUUCGGAUUGUAAACUCCUGUUGUUGAGGAAGAUAAUGACGGUACUCAACAAGGAAGUGACGGCUAACUACGUGCCAGCAGCCGCGGUAAAACGUAGGUCACAAGCGUUGUCCGGAAUUACUGGGUGUAAAGGGAGCGCAGGCGGGAAGACAAGUUGGAAGUGAAAUCCAUGGGCUCAACCCAUGAACUGCUUUCAAAACUGUUUUUCUUGAGUAGUGCAGAGGUAGGCGGAAUUCCCGGUGUAGCGGUGGAAUGCGUAGAUAUCGGGAGGAACACCAGUGGCGAAGGCGGCCUACUGGGCACCAACUGACGCUGAGGCUCGAAAGUGUGGGUAGCAAACAGGAUUAGAUACCCUGGUAGUCCACACUGUAAACGAUGAUUACUAGGUGUUGGAGGAUUGACCCCUUCAGUGCCGCAGUUAACACAAUAAGUAAUCCACCUGGGGAGUACGACCGCAAGGUUGAAACUCAAAGGAAUUGACGGGGGCCCGCACAAGCAGUGGAGUAUGUGGUUUAAUUCGACGCAACGCGAAGAACCUUACCAAGUCUUGACAUCCUGCGACGGACAUAGAAAUAUGUUUUUCCUUCGGGACGCAGAGACAGGUGGUGCAUGGUUGUCGUCAGCUCGUGUCGUGAGAUGUUGGGUUAAGUCCCGCAACGAGCGCAACCCUUAUGGUCAGUUACUACGCAAGAGGACUCUGGCCAGACUGCCGUUGACAAAACGGAGGAAGGUGGGGAUGACGUCAAAUCAUCAUGCCCUUUAUGACUUGGGCUACACACGUACUACAAUGGCGUUAAACAAAGAGAAGCAAGACCGCGAGGUGGAGCAAAACUCAGAAACAACGUCCCAGUUCGGACUGCAGGCUGCAACUCGCCUGCACGAAGUCGGAAUUGCUAGUAAUCGCAGAUCAGCAUGCUGCGGUGAAUACGUUCCCGGGCCUUGUACACACCGCCCGUCACACCAUGAGAGCCGGGGGGACCCGAAGUCGGUAGUCUAACCGCAAGGAGGACGCCGCCGAAGGUAAAACUGGUGAUUGGGGUGAAGUCGUAACAAGGUAGCCGUAGGAGAACCUGCGGCUG
This 1242-nucleotide ribosomal RNA is filed under the name metagenome. RNAcentral describes it as "bacterial SSU rRNA". It matches the Rfam family "Bacterial small subunit ribosomal RNA", at positions 252 to 1520 of the family's 1533-position model. The record is from RNAcentral.